This 384-nucleotide ribosomal RNA is filed under the name uncultured prokaryote. RNAcentral's name for it is "bacterial SSU rRNA". It matches the Rfam family "Archaeal small subunit ribosomal RNA", at positions 341 to 725 of the family's 1478-position model. The record is from RNAcentral.
GCGAAAACUUUACAAUGCGGGAAACCGCGAUAAGGGGACACCGAGUGCCAGCAUCCUAUGUUGGCUGUCCACAUGUUUAAAUCACAUGUGUUAGCAAGGGCCGGGCAAGACCGGUGCCAGCCGCCGCGGUAACACCGGCGGCCCGAGUGGUGGCCACUAUUAUUGGGUCUAAAGGGUCCGUAGCCGGUUUGGUCAGUCUUCCGGGAAAUCUGACGGCUCAACCGUUAGGCUUUCGGGGGAUACUACCAGGCUUGGGACCGGGAGAGGUAAGAGGUACUACGGGGGUAGGAGUGAAAUCUUGUAAUCCCUGUGGGACCACCAGUGGCGAAGGCGUCUUACCAGAACGGGUCCGACGGUGAGGGACGAAAGCUGGGGGCACGAACC